Molecule: ribosomal RNA, 915 nt
Filed under: Escherichia coli
Lineage: Bacteria; Pseudomonadati; Pseudomonadota; Gammaproteobacteria; Enterobacterales; Enterobacteriaceae
Description: partial 23S ribosomal RNA
Rfam family: Bacterial large subunit ribosomal RNA
Source: RNAcentral
UCAGUGAAAUUGAACUCGCUGUGAAGAUGCAGUGUACCCGCGGCAAGACGGAAAGACCCCGUGAACCUUUACUAUAGCUUGACACUGAACAUUGAGCCUUGAUGUGUAGGAUAGGUGGGAGGCUUUGAAGUGUGGACGCCAGUCUGCAUGGAGCCGACCUUGAAAUACCACCCUUUAAUGUUUGAUGUUCUAACGUUGACCCGUAAUCCGGGUUGCGGACAGUGUCUGGUGGGUAGUUUGACUGGGGCGGUCUCCUCCUAAAGAGUAACGGAGGAGCACGAAGGUUGGCUAAUCCUGGUCGGACAUCAGGAGGUUAGUGCAAUGGCAUAAGCCAGCUUGACUGCGAGCGUGACGGCGCGAGCAGGUGCGAAAGCAGGUCAUAGUGAUCCGGUGGUUCUGAAUGGAAGGGCCAUCGCUCAACGGAUAAAAGGUACUCCGGGGAUAACAGGCUGAUACCGCCCAAGAGUUCAUAUCGACGGCGGUGUUUGGCACCUCGAUGUCGGCUCAUCACAUCCUGGGGCUGAAGUAGGUCCCAAGGGUAUGGCUGUUCGCCAUUUAAAGUGGUACGCGAGCUGGGUUUAGAACGUCGUGAGACAGUUCGGUCCCUAUCUGCCGUGGGCGCUGGAGAACUGAGGGGGGCUGCUCCUAGUACGAGAGGACCGGAGUGGACGCAUCACUGGUGUUCGGGUUGUCAUGCCAAUGGCACUGCCCGGUAGCUAAAUGCGGAAGAGAUAAGUGCUGAAAGCAUCUAAGCACGAAACUUGCCCCGAGAUGAGUUCUCCCUGACUCCUUGAGAGUCCUGAAGGAACGUUGAAGACGACGACGUUGAUAGGCCGGGUGUGUAAGCGCAGCGAUGCGUUGAGCUAACCGGUACUAAUGAACCGUGAGGCUUAACCUUACAACGCCGAAGCUGUU